CAUGACUACAUAAAUGCUCCAUAGAAUUUGCCCAUGCUAAUACGUCUCUUUAAUACGAUGAGCCAAUGCGCAAGCAGCAAUGACCAUGGACAGAAGACCAAGAAACGAAAGGCGAAUGCCCAAGACAAAUCAGGGUGUAAGAGCCUUACUGACCGUCUAAGUGUGCAACCCAAGAGUACUCCAAGCCUCCAGCUGGCCUCCACGUCCUGUGACUCGUUUAUAUGCCAGGGCACCUCUCCCUUCAGCCCGCCACCUCCCCCCAACACGUGCACGGGCCUUCAGAUGGAGGAGACGGCCCACAACUUCCUGCGGACAACUGAGCACAACCUCAGCCACUCGAGCACACUCAACGCUCCAGUUCAGCCAGAACCUACCUCCCAUGUCCCCUUGUACCCUCACAGCCACCAAAUCAACCCCCAAAGCCUGAGCCACACCCUAAACCACGGGGCUCUCAGCGGGGAUAUGGACCCUCUCUUCAUCCGGGCGGCGACCGUCGUGGAGAUGGUGUGCGGGGAGAGGAUGUACAAAUGCUCGGCCUGCCUGCACUACUACACCGGCCUGGGGCCACUGGUGGAACACGUCAAGGAGGGCUGGCGGGACGGGUUCAGCUGCCGGGUCUUCUACCGUAAGCUCAAGAGCAUGUGGGACCGGCGGGUCAGCACCGAUGUCACCACUGGCAUCCAGGCGGCCACAACGGUUUCCGGAUGCACACUACCGCUGAGCGGCACCACCACCACUACCACCACCACCACCACCAUGCUGGCUGCAACGGCGACAGACAGUGUCAACAGCCACACAGUCAAGGACAAGAAGAUGGAGAGAGUGCAAGACUGGCUUGAGAAGUCUGUCAUAUUGCC
Long non-coding RNA from Clupea harengus (Atlantic herring), 857 nucleotides. Lineage: Eukaryota; Metazoa; Chordata; Actinopteri; Clupeiformes; Clupeidae. The record is from Ensembl.